Molecule: long non-coding RNA, 716 nt
Filed under: Gallus gallus (chicken)
Lineage: Eukaryota; Metazoa; Chordata; Aves; Galliformes; Phasianidae
Source: RNAcentral
CCCAGUCCUGUUGCCUUGUACGUGUUUUGCAGGGGAAGCAUCUGCACACACUCUGGCACUGAAUAACGUUAAAAAGAAAAAAAAAUCCGACAAACUUUUGAAGCGGAAUAUUUUUGUUAUUGUUGUUUUCGUAAGAGGUUCUGAGAGUGUCUAAGUUUGCAUGCAUGAAACAGUACCUUCCAAGUCGGUCUUGCGGUUGGCUAAAGCUCUUCACAUUUUCUAUUGAAAAAUUAACUGUCUCUACCACAGAGUUUUCUAUUGCACCCAAUGGCCCCUUGGCUAACUCAACAAUUCUUUUAGUAGAAGCAACAAGAAGGCUAGAAGAAAAUGGACAUGCAAGAGCUGUAAGAAAGCAUCAGCUGUGGCAAAGGAAAAGGAAAGCUGCGUCUCUGCUCAAAAGGAUGCCAGGAUUUCCUAUUUUGGUGGUCCGCUAUGAUUUUCCUCAUUAGGCUGGAAGUUCUAAUACUAAAGUCAUGGUUGUUACAGAAGAAGUCAAGAAACUGCUGUAGUGAGUCCCAUCAUGUGCUGUCCUAUUUAAGUGAAUGUAUUGAAUGUGCUUCUUCAGUGCACUCUUACAUCAGUGUGUUUGCUAGCAAAUAUUCACUUAAUACAAUUUAAACUAUAAUUCUAAUGGUCAAGGCCAAGGUGAUUCAGUGACGUUUGCUUCCAGAAGUCUAAAAUGCAGCCAUGGUCUGUUCAAAGCUCAGUCUUAAAAU